ACACAUGGCCGUACCUCCUUGUCAGUGCCCAAUCUUGUCUGAUCUCAGAAGCUAAGCAAGGACUGGCUAGGUUAGUACUUGGAUGGGAGACAUUUUUGCCUCAGUCCAGGGCAAGUGCA
Molecule: ribosomal RNA, 119 nt
Filed under: Periophthalmus magnuspinnatus
Lineage: Eukaryota; Metazoa; Chordata; Actinopteri; Gobiiformes; Gobiidae
Source: RNAcentral